Long non-coding RNA from Cygnus olor (mute swan), 1693 nucleotides. RefSeq lists it as uncharacterized. Lineage: Eukaryota; Metazoa; Chordata; Aves; Anseriformes; Anatidae. The transcript is spliced from 3 exons. The record is from RefSeq and is a predicted model, not a curated record.
CAUCUACAAUGGAUCUAUUGCUAUGUUUAACCGCUAAAAAAAAUGAUAUUUUUAACUACUUUUACUAGUUAUGCCUGUUUAGUCCAUGUUUGUAGACUGUCUCAUACAGCAAAGCCUUCAGAUGAAACCCUUAGAUGAAGUCUUCAAACACUACUGGAACCUAAAGAUAAAGAUUUCUCUUGGAAGAUCAGUUCUAGAUCAUCAAUAACGUGAGCUAUUCUGCUGCAGGAAAAGUGUUCAAAGGUCCUUCACAGAGAGAAACAACAGCUGCCACUUACAAGUAACCGCUUGCAUUCGAGGAACUUGGACAUCCACCGAGUGACCACAUUGACCAGGGAUGGUACCAGCAGGCACAGCAUGGAGAGCUGCAAGCAAUGAGGGAAUUUGCAGUGCUCUGGAGUGAGACCACCAGAAAGUUUGAAAUGGUGGAGCGGUGCCUUCAACUGAAAUAAAGUUUUCAUCAAAGACCCCCAAAGGGUUUUUUUCUCACCCUAGUACGAGCUCUAUCUUUGCUGAGUCCCAGCUGAAUUCAGACCAGGAUGGGGAGCAAUGCUCCAGUGUCCUUGUCUUCUGCUAUGAUUUGUAAAGACUUUAUGCCAACCUCUAUGUUACUGGCACACUAAAGAAUAAAUGAAUAUAAUUCUCCAAUUACCAUCAGUUACCUUUCCUGGAGAUGUUUUUGGCACAUUUUUUUUUUGGUCAAAUUCCUUGGUAAACCUUCAUUCCUCUAUAACGGAUCACAACUUCCAUGCAUUUGUUUCACAAGACCCAUAGCAUUGUGGUUCACUUCAGUAAUUAUUUACAGUCUCUGUGUUGGAAACUCAGUUUUACCAUGAAAUUUUCAGGCAAAUGAGUCAAAACUGGGUGCAUACAGCCAUAUUAGGCUUUCUGAGAAAUGUGAUCUCAUUCAGAGAAGUGUCAAGAAUUUUUCUGUGUCAAAGGAAAGCAGAGGUGCUCAGCACCUUUGAAAUACUUUCAAACUCAAGUGUCUAAAUAUAGAUUUAAAAGCCUAAUUUGACAACCUGGUUUUAAAAUGUUGGUCUAGAAAAUUCUGUGGUUUAAGUUUUCUUCCACUUGCAUAUCUACAGAAUUUAAAAGGUCUGGGGCAAUGAACUAUGAAAUACUUGGACUAUUACAUUCACAAGCAGUUGCAUUUCAGUAGGGAAUUUGUGGUAAAGACAGUAGAGACUUUUGUUCAAAUUAGGUAAGUGUCAGUUAGAUGAUGGCCCAUUUCCUUGAGGAGGUUCUAAAUAAUAACAAUAAAUCAAUUUAAAUAUCCUCAUGUGUAAAAAUCCCAUGAAUUCCUUCAAGACACAAACUAUGUUUUUACUUUAUUGCAUAAAGUCUAGAGUAAACAAAUAUGUACUAAAAUAUACACAUCCCUUAUGCCAUUUCCUUUAAAACCAGAGAACAUUAAUUUGGUUAGAAGUCAUUUAACCAAGAUUUCUGAUGAACUUUCACUGACUUACAGGAAUUUACAUUAUGAAUUUGGUUUAACAUUGUCUGUUUUUGUUGGGAAAUACUCAGAAAAGCAGUGGGAUCAUCUGGGACAACAAACCCAAAUCUCUCAAUGUUGUCACUCUCUAAAAAGCAACAGAUUGCACAAAAGAAUGUUUGCUCACGAUGUUGGUUUUCGAUUACAGACUCUGUUUUUUCUGUAUUUGAGUAAUAAAUUGAAAGAAAUGUAGCAAAU